GCUGAAGUGAGCGCGGGAUCAGGAUGUCUUCAGCAUUCUUAUAAAUAUCCAAGAGGCAGUCUAUCAAUGUAAAUCUUUGAAGAUUAUAUUGGGGACAGUCAAAGAAAAUGUGAUCAAGAGUUUGGAUGGAUAAAUUACAGAAUUGACAAGUUGGAGAAUCUAAAACACCGAUCCUAAAUAAAUGAGCACCACUACGAGAAUGUCCCAGACGUAACCGACAAAUUGUGGUGUAAAAUUUUCUGUGGACAUUUAAGGAUAGAAGAAUGGAUGUUAAUUGUUCUAAAUCAACAUUAUUAAAUGCUCCUACAACAUCCAAAAAAACACCAGCCAAUAUCUUAUUGUCAAUCUGGGCACUAUGGAUGUCAAGACAUAAAUGCCGUAUACUCUCACAAGCAGAACGACCACAUCGAAAUCCAAAUUGAUUAUUAGAUUACUGUGUGGAGGAAUGUUGGAUGGAAUUGAAGAAGAUUCAGUUUCCGACACUACCAUGGAAAAUUUUGUGAUUGUAGGCAAGUGAUAGCUGCCCAAAGAGUCCUGAUGAACUUGCCAUUCACAGCACAGGAAUAAUGAAGAUGAUACUAUUGUUAGAUCUAGUCCAUUUGGUCUCCAAGAAUUAGUACCCACUGUAGUUGGUUGAUCAUUAUUUAAGAGCAUUAAGUCAUUAUCGUCCAUUACAUCCAUGAUGUCUCUACCUCUAGAAUUGAUUCUAUUACAACCCCAAAUGGUAUGGUGAGCAUUAAAAUCACCAGCAAUUAUUAGUGGUUUUGGAAUACUAUGCAACAGUCUAUUAAAUUUAGAUUUGUCAAAGUUAGGUACACUGUUGCCAAGACUAUAAAAGCUAACAAUUGAGAUGUCUUUUUGUUUGUACAGUAGAACUCCAAUUAUCCGAAUUAAUGGGGACCGGGACCCAUUCGGAUAAUCAAAUAUUCGGAUAAUCGGAGUUUUUUAAAAAAAAUUGCCAUUGGAGAGAAAAAAAGCUAUGUUU
Leptidea sinapis is the source of this 985-nucleotide long non-coding RNA. RefSeq lists it as uncharacterized. The record is from RefSeq and is a predicted model, not a curated record. The transcript is spliced from 3 exons. Lineage: Eukaryota; Metazoa; Arthropoda; Insecta; Lepidoptera; Pieridae.